Molecule: ribosomal RNA, 734 nt
Filed under: uncultured eukaryote
Lineage: Eukaryota
Description: bacterial SSU rRNA
Rfam family: Eukaryotic small subunit ribosomal RNA
Source: RNAcentral
UGGUGUUUACUGUCGAACUGAACACUCUACCGUUUACUGUCUGGUGGUGCUCUUCACCGAGUGUCACCAGUGGUCGGUACGUUUACUUUGAAAAAAUUAGAGUGCUCAAAGCGGUUUUUACACGACCGAAUACUGUUGCAUGGAAUAAUGAAAUAGGACUUUGGUUCUAUUUUGUUGGUCUUCGGAACCAAGGUAAUGAUUAAGAGGGACAGACGGGGGCAUUAGUAUUGCGACGCUAGAGGUGAAAUUCUUGGACCGUCGCAAGACUAACUAAAGCGAAAGCAUUUGCCAAGGAUGUUUUCAUUGAUAAGGAACGAAAGUUAGGGGAUCGAAGACGAUCAGAUACCGUCGUAGUCUUAACUAUAAACUAUGCCGACUAGGGAUCGGACGAUGUUAUUUCUUGACGCGUUCGGCACCUUUCGAGAAAUCAAAGUGCUUGGGCUCCAGGGGGAGUAUGGUCGCAAGGCUGAAACUUAAAGAAAUUGACGGAAGGGCACCACCAGGGGUGGAACCUGCGGCUUAAUUUGACUCAACACGGGGAAACUCACCAGGUCCAGACACAGUGAGGAUUGACAGAUUGAGAGCUCUUUCUUGAUUCUGUGGGUGGUGGUGCAUGGCCGUUCUUAGUUGGUGGAGUGAUUUGUCUGCUUAAUUGCGAUAACGAACGAGACCUUAACCUGCUAAAUAGCCCGUACUGCUCUGGCAGUUCGCCGGCUUCUUAGAGGGACUAUCGG